Passer domesticus (house sparrow) is the source of this 438-nucleotide long non-coding RNA. RefSeq lists it as uncharacterized. Lineage: Eukaryota; Metazoa; Chordata; Aves; Passeriformes; Passeridae. The record is from RefSeq and is a predicted model, not a curated record. The transcript is spliced from 3 exons.
AGAUGCUACUGCUGUCAGACCUCCCCCUGUGAAUGUUCUUGCUUGUGAAAAAUCAGCAGUCUUGGAAAGGAAGGUGUGACCAGAGCUUGCCUUUUGGGGGAGAAGCCAGGCUGUGUGGCAUUUUUCAUCAAACUAUGAGAUGAGAUAAAAAGAGGACUGCAGGUAACUCAGUGGCAGAGUGAAGUAAUGGAUUGCUAAGUGAUUCUUUCCUGCAUGAAAUAUUCAGACUCAGCUAUGUCUAUAUCAGUAGUGCUUUCUGUUCCCAUCAUCCACUUUUCUGAGGUUUAUCCAUGUUCUGCAGAGCUCAUUGAGUCAGAGGUUUUAUCACCUCAUGUUAUCACAUCUCCCACAGACAGCCAACAGUCACUUGAUGUCUCCUCCUACUUGUUGCCGACUUCAGACCAUUUCAGUGUGGUUUUUUGUCAUCACUGGAUUGGA